This 77-nucleotide transfer RNA is filed under the name Haliea sp. RNAcentral describes it as "tRNA-Arg". It matches the Rfam family "tRNA". Rfam says of the family: Transfer RNA (tRNA) molecules are approximately 80 nucleotides in length. Lineage: Bacteria; Pseudomonadati; Pseudomonadota; Gammaproteobacteria; Cellvibrionales; Halieaceae. The record is from RNAcentral.
GCCUCCGUAGCUCAGUUGAAUAGAGCGACCCCCUCCUAAGGGGUAGGUCGCAGGUUUGAGUCCUGCCGGGGGCACCA